UACAGAGGUGGCAAGCGUUGUUCGGAAUUACUGGGCGUAAAGGGCGCGUAGGCGGCCCUCUUAGUCGGACGUGAAAUCCCCAGGCUUAACUUGGGAACUGCGUCCGAUACUGGAGGGCUCGAGUGCGGGAGAGGGAUGUGGAAUUCCAGGUGUAGCGGUGAAAUGCGUAGAUAUCUGGAGGAACACCGGUGGCGAAGGCGGCAUCCUGGACCGACACUGACGCUGAUGCGCGAAAACUAGGGGAGCAAACGGG
This 253-nucleotide ribosomal RNA is filed under the name uncultured bacterium. RNAcentral describes it as "partial 16S ribosomal RNA". It matches the Rfam family "Bacterial small subunit ribosomal RNA", at positions 524 to 776 of the family's 1533-position model. The record is from RNAcentral.